AAAUUACCCAAUCCUAAUACAGGGAGGUAGUGACAAGAAAUAACAAUACAGGACUUUUUGGUUUUGUAAUUGGAAUGAGUUAAGUAUAAACCCCUUUACAAGUAUCAAUUGGAGGGCAAGUCUGGUGCCAGCAGCCGCGGUAAUUCCAGCUCCAAUAGCGUAUAUUAAAGUUGUUGCAGUUAAAAAGCUCGUAGUUGGAUUUCUGUUAAUAAUUUAUAUAAAAUAUUUUGAUGAAUAUUUAUAUAAUAUUAACAUAAUUCAUAUUACUAUAUAUUUUAGUAUAUGAAAUUUUACUUUGAGAAAAUUAGAGUGCUUAAAACAGGCAUAUGCCUUGAAUACUCCAGCAUGGAAUAAUAUUAAAGAUUUUUAUCUUUCUUAUUGGUUCUAAGAUAAGAAUAAUGAUUAAUAGGG
Molecule: ribosomal RNA, 411 nt
Filed under: Cryptosporidium parvum
Lineage: Eukaryota; Apicomplexa; Conoidasida; Eucoccidiorida; Cryptosporidiidae
Description: SSU rRNA
Rfam family: Eukaryotic small subunit ribosomal RNA
Source: RNAcentral